AUCGAAAGAAACGGAGGCAAAGAGAGAAAGCAGAGAAGCGGCAUUUUGUACGGAACGUUAUCAAACGUUAAAGCUUUGUGGCAGGAAGUUGUCAAUCAAGCACCAAAAAUCAAUGACCUGAAAGAAAGAUGGCCUGCUCUUUUUGAUGCAGUUCAGAUAAACCAAGAAUUCAGAAGGAUCACCACUGUUAACCUGGAAACAACAUUCAUGGCAAAGCUGGACCAGUACUCUCAGAAAAUAAUGUCCUUGCUGUCCUCAAGAGGAGGGGCUGCAAAAAUGCGCAUUCGGCGCAUCCAGAACAUGCUGCUAAAGGAUGAUUCUGUGGAGAGAAGGCGAGAGGUCGCUAUCCGUGGCUUAGUGGUGUAUCUCAGGGAAAAGGAGGAGGAUCUCUUCAAAGAGCAGGAUGGUGGCGGGGAUAUUACCAAUGAAGUGAUGAAGAUUGUAACCAGAGGUGCCACAACGUCUGAUCCAGCCAACGCAAGGAUCAUACUUGAAGGAACAGAAGUCCUAGCAGACCUGGAUGUACCCAGAGCCUGUGCCUUGCUAAUGGGGCUGAUAUAUGCACUCAACCUCAGCUACCCAAAAGAACUGAAAAACACUUUUGAAGUGUUUCAAAAGAUAUUCCUCGAGCUGGAUGAUCUGAAAGCCAGUCCUAAGGUAAUGUCACUAAAAAGUAAACUGUUGUACUAAAAAAAUGUGAAGAGUGAGGCUAUCCUCAAAUUAAAUGGGAAAUGUUCCACUGUUGUUUGCAAUGUGUUGUUACAUACUGUACAGUAGGCAGUAGGUGUAAAGUUGAGCGUUGAGCAUUAAGUACACCUAGUUCAAAAUAAUGCACUUUAAAAGGAUAGCUCGGGUCUUUUGAAGUGAGGCUGUAUAUGAGGUACAUAUGUAUAGUGAGUGUAUUACACACAGUAGAUGGCAGUCAGUAAGCUCCACCUACGGAGAAGCAGACGGGGCCACCGGCAUGCAAGAUGAGCCUCCAUCCUAAUAAAACUGAUGUCAGUUUAAAUGUACAUUAUAUCAAGAAUAUGUUUACUGCUUUAUUUUGCUAUCAGACAGCCUUUUCUGUGAGGAAAGAGAAGUUCUAC
Molecule: long non-coding RNA, 1088 nt
Organism: Astatotilapia calliptera (eastern happy)
Lineage: Eukaryota; Metazoa; Chordata; Actinopteri; Cichliformes; Cichlidae
Source: Ensembl